Molecule: long non-coding RNA, 305 nt
Organism: Notothenia coriiceps (black rockcod)
Lineage: Eukaryota; Metazoa; Chordata; Actinopteri; Perciformes; Nototheniidae
Exons: 3
Source: RefSeq, a predicted model, not a curated record
CACCAUCACAGAGGCUACCAUCAUCACAGAACCACCUGAGGACACUGAGGUGAAGGUUGGUGAUGAGGUGAUCCUGAGGUGUGGCGCUUCAUUCGACCCCAUGCUGGACGUCACAUUCAUCUGGACCAUCGACUACAGGAUCAUCGACUUUCACUCUGAGUGGGAUCACUACGAACGCGUUUUGAGUGAAGAUGGCAGUGGUGAUCUGAGAAUAAAGAAUGUCCAGAUUUGGCACGAAGGUCGCUACGCCUGCACCACUCAGUCAGUGGUGGACAGCGACUCUGCAUACGCUGACCUCAAGAUUG